This 492-nucleotide ribosomal RNA is filed under the name uncultured bacterium. RNAcentral's name for it is "partial 16S ribosomal RNA". It matches the Rfam family "Bacterial small subunit ribosomal RNA", at positions 29 to 507 of the family's 1533-position model. The record is from RNAcentral.
AGUGAACGCUGGCGGUAGGCCUAACACAUGCAAGUCGAACGGCAGCACAGUAAGAGCUUGCUCUUACGGGUGGCGAGUGGCGGACGGGUGAGGAAUACAUCGGAAUCUACUUUUUCGUGGGGGAUAACGUAGGGAAACUUACGCUAAUACCGCAUACGACCUACGGGUGAAAGCAGGGGAUCUUCGGACCUUGCGCGAUUGAAUGAGCCGAUGUCGGAUUAGCUAGUUGGCGGGGUAAAGGCCCACCAAGGCGACGAUCCGUAGCUGGUCUGAGAGGAUGAUGAGCCACACUGGAACUGAGACACGGUCCAGACUCCUAAGGGAGGCAGCAGUGGGAAAUAUUGGACAAUGGGCGCAAGCCUGAUCCAGCCAUACCGCGUGGGUGAAGAAGGCCUUCGGGUUGUAAAGCCCUUUUGUUGGGAAAGAAAAGCAGCAGGUUAAUACCCCGCUGUUCUGACGGUACCCAAAGAAUAAGCACCGGCUAACUUCGUG